CAUAAUCUGGUUUCAUUUACACCUAUUUACAUGGACACCUUGGGCCAAUAGAAAUCAUUUCCAUUUGAAGACAAGGCAAAGGGUGAAAAGGCUCAGCAACCGGAAUUGAAGUGUGAUGGCACCCAGUAACUGUGUGUGAAGAUUGCAGUUCUGCUAUCUUUUCUUGGAUGUCACAACACUACCUAAACCUUACUAUCUACAAAAGCAAAUAAAUUGUUUUUCAAUGGCUGUGGAGCAAAAAAAGCAUAGAGUUUGAAGAUGCUCCCUUGCCAUUUUGCUAGGAGAAGGUUGUUGGCCACAUUGUUCACCACUGCAUUGCCACCCACAAAGCUGGCAAAAAAAAGAGGCCAUGUGAUUAUAACUAACCUCCAGUGAACCAAAGGAUGGCUAAUUCCUAGUGUCUAAAAGCAGCAUUGAUCCCUUUCCAAUGAAUGAUCUUUGCAUUCAGCAAAACCCAAGCACUUUCUACAGGAAAAAGGUCACUUGCAAAACCUGUGAACAUGAAAGACUUUCAGACACAAUAUAGAGUUUUUUCCUCCCUCAAGUGUUAAAAUGAGAAUGGAUCAGCUUGGAAUAUUAAACUAAACCUCUGGUCACACAGAUUGAAUUUACCAGUGUUCAGGCAAUGCAGAAUAGCAAAAUAAUCUCUUAUGUGAAGAAAGUCCUUAUUAAUGGUGAAUUUACAUGUAUUAUGUGUUUUUAUAAAUAUGUACUUUUUUUUAAAAAAAAUACAAUUAAAUAAUUAAUUAACAUUGUUUUCUGUAACCAAAUUGUAUCUAAUGUAUACAUCCUGACGACGAUCCCCAGUGGAUCGAAACGCGUAGAUAUGGAGGUUCAAUAAAGGAUUCAUGGUUGGACUUUA
Long non-coding RNA from Xenopus tropicalis (tropical clawed frog), 862 nucleotides. RefSeq lists it as uncharacterized. The transcript has 3 exons. The record is from RefSeq and is a predicted model, not a curated record. NCBI's taxonomy places the organism in Eukaryota, Metazoa, Chordata, Amphibia, Anura, Pipidae.